This 253-nucleotide ribosomal RNA is filed under the name uncultured bacterium. Its description in RNAcentral is "partial 16S ribosomal RNA". It matches the Rfam family "Bacterial small subunit ribosomal RNA", at positions 524 to 776 of the family's 1533-position model. The record is from RNAcentral.
UACGUAGGUUCCGAGCGUUAUCCGGAUUUACUGGGCGUAAAGCGCGUUCAGGCGGUUUGACAAGUCGGGCAUGAAAUCUCUCGGCUCAACCGGGAGAGGUUGUCCGAUACUGUCAGACUUGAGGGCAGUAGAGGGUGGUGGAAUUCCGGGUGUAGUGGUGAAAUGCGCAGAUAUCGGGAGGAACACCGGUGGCGAAGGCGGUUCUCUGGGCCUUACCUGACGCUGAGGAGCGAAAGCGUGGGGAGCGAACAGG